Molecule: microRNA precursor, 60 nt
Filed under: Melibe leonina
Lineage: Eukaryota; Metazoa; Mollusca; Gastropoda; Nudibranchia; Dendronotidae
Description: microRNA mle-mir-1985 precursor
Source: miRBase by way of RNAcentral
UGCCAUUUUUUUCAGUCACUGUGUGUUAUUGAUUCCACGGGGACUGUCAACAAUGGUUUG